This 220-nucleotide ribosomal RNA is filed under the name uncultured bacterium. RNAcentral's name for it is "partial 16S ribosomal RNA". It matches the Rfam family "Bacterial small subunit ribosomal RNA", at positions 57 to 305 of the family's 1533-position model. The record is from RNAcentral.
GCAAGUCGAACGGGACCUUCGGGUCUAGUGGCGCACGGGUGCGUAACGCGUGGGAAUAUACCCUUUGGUGCGGAAUAAUAUUUGGAAACGAAUACUAAUACCGCAUAAUAGCUCCGGCUCAAAGAUUUAUCGCCAAAGGAUUAGCCCGCGUCUGAUUAGGUAGUUGGUGGGGUAAAAGCCUACCAAGCCGACGAUCAGUAGGGGGUCUUAGAGGAUGAUC